This is a non-coding RNA of Pan troglodytes (chimpanzee), 135 nucleotides long. It matches the Rfam family "Metazoan signal recognition particle RNA". Rfam says of the family: The signal recognition particle (SRP) is a universally conserved ribonucleoprotein. It is involved in the co-translational targeting of proteins to membranes. Lineage: Eukaryota; Metazoa; Chordata; Mammalia; Primates; Hominidae. The record is from Rfam.
GCUGGGCAUGGUGGCGGGUGCCUGUAAUCCCAGCUACUUGGGAGGCUGAGGCAGGAGAAUCGCUUGAACCUGGGAGGCGGAGGUUGCAGUGAGCCUGCACUUCAGCCUGGGUGACAGAGUGAGAUUCUGUCUCAA